This 497-nucleotide ribosomal RNA is filed under the name uncultured bacterium. Its description in RNAcentral is "partial 16S ribosomal RNA". It matches the Rfam family "Bacterial small subunit ribosomal RNA", at positions 28 to 507 of the family's 1533-position model. The record is from RNAcentral.
GAUGAACGCUGGCGGCGUGCCUAAUACAUGUAAGUCGAGCGAACAGAUAAGGAGCUUGCUCCUUUGACGUUAGCGGCGGACGGGUGAGUAACACGUGGGUAACCUACCUAUAAGACUGGAAUAACUCCGGGAAACCGGGGCUAAUGCCGGAUAACAUUUAGAACCGCAUGGUUCUAAAGUGAAAGAUGGUUUUGCUAUCACUUAUAGAUGGACCCGCGCCGUAUUAGCUAGUUGGUACGGUAACGGCUUACCACGGCAACGAUACGUAGCCGACCGGAGAGGGUGAUCGGCCACACUGGAGCUGGGACACGGUCCAGACUCCUACGGGAGGCAGCAGUAGGGAAUCUUCCGCAAUGGGCGAAAGCCUGACGGAGCAACGCCGCGUGAGUGAUGAAGGUCUUCGGAUCGUAAAACUCUGUUAUUAGGGAAGAACAAAUGUGUAAGUAACUGUGCACGUCUUGACGGUACCUAAUCAGAAAGCCACGGCUAACUACGUG